RNAcentral lists this ribosomal RNA (253 nucleotides) under uncultured bacterium. RNAcentral's name for it is "partial 16S ribosomal RNA". It matches the Rfam family "Bacterial small subunit ribosomal RNA", at positions 524 to 776 of the family's 1533-position model. The record is from RNAcentral.
UACGUAGGGGGCUAGCGUUGUCCGGAUUUAUUGGGCGUAAAGAGCGUGUAGGCGGCCUGGUAGGUCUGCUGUGAAAACUCGAGGCUCAACCUCGAGACGCCGGUGGAAACCGUAAAGCUAGAGUCCGGAAGAGGAGAGUGGAAUUCCUGGUGUAGCGGUGAAAUGCGCAGAUAUCAGGAGGAACACCAGUGGCGAAAGCGGCUCUCUGGGACGGUACUGACGCUGAGACGCGAAAGCGUGGGGAGCAAACAGG